GUGCUCGCUUCGGCAGCACAUAUACUAAAAUUGGAACAACACAGAGAAGAUUAGCAUGGCCCCUGAGCAAGGAUGACAUGCAAAUUCUAUAUUUUAUUUAAAAUUUU
Molecule: small nuclear RNA, 107 nt
Organism: Callithrix jacchus (white-tufted-ear marmoset)
Lineage: Eukaryota; Metazoa; Chordata; Mammalia; Primates; Cebidae
Source: Ensembl